AACCCCCAAUUUUAAAAAGAACAGAAAGCUGUUUGCUUUCUCUCCCUCCCCUAUUUCUCUCCGUCGAUCAUGUUCUCCACCGCCCGCCGUACCACCACCGUACCCGGUGGCCGACGAAGCGCGGAGAUGGGCUUCUUAGCCUCGUUUUGAGGCACAUUCGAAGGCCAUGCCUUCUCAACCCCAAAGAAAUCGAAAGAAAGGUCCCCCCUCUCCCCGGUUCGACUUCGGCGAUUGGAGAAGAGAUCUCCAGCGAUGAGUCUGUGGGAAGAUCAAGGUGAGGUUACCUUUCUCUUUACCUUUUCGUUUAUUUUCGUACAUGAAAAAGAAAAAAGAACUAAAACACAAUAAAAAAAACAAAGAAAUCAAAACCAAGAACUAGAUGAAAGAAACUAUUGUAAAAACCAAAAAUCACCUUAAAAUCUCUUUU
Molecule: long non-coding RNA, 427 nt
Filed under: Gossypium barbadense (sea-island cotton)
Lineage: Eukaryota; Viridiplantae; Streptophyta; Magnoliopsida; Malvales; Malvaceae
Description: long non-coding RNA (GBAR_LNC007721)
Source: RNAcentral